CUUGACGACCAUAGAACAUUGGAACCACCUGAUCCCAUCCCGAACUCAGUAGUGAAACGAUGUAUCGCCGAUGGUAGUGUGGGGUUUCNUUUGAGUCGAAGGACCAGAUUGCGGUGACUGUGAAGA
Molecule: ribosomal RNA, 126 nt
Filed under: Pseudomonas amygdali pv. tabaci
Lineage: Bacteria; Pseudomonadati; Pseudomonadota; Gammaproteobacteria; Pseudomonadales; Pseudomonadaceae
Source: RNAcentral